Molecule: ribosomal RNA, 460 nt
Filed under: uncultured bacterium
Lineage: Bacteria
Description: partial 16S ribosomal RNA
Rfam family: Bacterial small subunit ribosomal RNA
Source: RNAcentral
CCUACGGGAGGCUGCAGUGAGGAAUAUUGGUCAAUGGACGAGAGUCUGAACCAGCCAAGUAGCGUGAAGGAUGACUGCCCUAUGGGUUGUAAACUUCUUUUAUAUGGGAAUAAAAUGUUCCACGUGUGGGAUUUUGUAUGUACCAUAUGCAUAAGGAUCGGCUAACUCCGUGCCAGCAGCCGCGGUAAUACGGAGGAUCCGAGCGUUAUCCGGAUUUAUUGGGUUUAAAGGGAGCGUAGGUGGAUUGUUAAGUCAGUUGUGAAAGUUUGCGGCUCAACCGUAGAAUUGCAGUUGAAACUGGCAGUCUUGAGUACAGUAGAGGUGGGCGGAAUUCGUGGUGUAGCGGUGAAAUGCUUAGAUAUCACGAAGAACUCCGAUUGCGAAGGCAGUUCACUGGACUGCAACUGACACUGAGGCGCGAAAGUGUGGGUAUCAAACAGGAUUAGAUACCCUUGUAGUC